RNAcentral lists this ribosomal RNA (414 nucleotides) under uncultured bacterium. RNAcentral's name for it is "bacterial SSU rRNA". It matches the Rfam family "Bacterial small subunit ribosomal RNA", at positions 390 to 796 of the family's 1533-position model. The record is from RNAcentral.
AGCAACGCCGCGUGGGUGAAGAAGGUCUUCGGAUCGUAAAACCCUGUUGUUAGAGAAGAAAGUGCGUGAGAGUAACUGUUCACGUUUCGACGGUAUCUAACCAGAAAGCCACGGCUAACUACGUGCCAGCAGCCGCGGUAAUACGUAGGUGGCAAGCGUUAUCCGGAUUUAUUGGGCGUAAAGGGAACGCAGGCGGUCUUUUAAGUCUGAUGUGAAAGCCUUCGGCUUAACCGGAGUAGUGCAUUGGAAACUGGGAGACUUGAGUGCAGAAGAGGAGAGUGGAACUCCAUGUGUAGCGGUGAAAUGCGUAGAUAUAUGGAAGAACACCAGUGGCGAAAGCGGCUCUCUGGUCUGUAACUGACGCUGAGGUUCGAAAGCGUGGGUAGCAAACAGGAUUAGAUACCCUGGUAGUCC